AUACAAAGCAUUUAUAGCUGCAGUUCUUUUGUACUUAAUAUAACAAAUUACUAAUGUGUAGAAAUUGCAACAUUUUGUAUGUAUGAGAAAUUCAAUCUACUGGACUAGCAUAAGUACUCAUUUAUCAGUGUAUACACUAGCCCUAUUCACUAGAUUGAAACAAUUUGACAUCCAAAUUCUUUAAAAUUAGUGGUUUAAAACAAAAUAUUAAUAAGAGUUCUUGAGUAAAUAAAAUACACC
RNAcentral lists this long non-coding RNA (240 nucleotides) under Solanum tuberosum (potato). RNAcentral's name for it is "long non-coding RNA (STUB_LNC009687)". Lineage: Eukaryota; Viridiplantae; Streptophyta; Magnoliopsida; Solanales; Solanaceae. The record is from RNAcentral.